CCUAACCUAUGGACGGGAAUAACCUCGGGAAACUGAGAAUAAUGCCCGAUAGAACAUUAUGCCUGGAAUGGUUUAUGUUCCAAAUGAUUUAUCGCCGUAGGAUGGGACUGCGGCCUAUCAGUUUGUUGGUGAGGUAAUGGCCCACCAAGACUAUUACAGGUACGGGCUCUGAGAGGAGUAGCCCGGAGAUGGGUACUGAGACACGGACCCAGGCCCUAUGGGGCGCAGCAGGCGAGAAAACUUUGCAAUGUGCGAAAGCACGACAAGGUUAAUCCGAGUGGUUUCUGCUAAAGGAACCUUUUGUCGGUCCUAGAAACACCGAUGAAUAAGGGGUGGGCAAGUUCUGGUGU
RNAcentral lists this ribosomal RNA (350 nucleotides) under uncultured archaeon. RNAcentral describes it as "bacterial SSU rRNA". It matches the Rfam family "Archaeal small subunit ribosomal RNA", at positions 108 to 458 of the family's 1478-position model. The record is from RNAcentral.